This 315-nucleotide ribosomal RNA is filed under the name Lactobacillus delbrueckii subsp. bulgaricus. RNAcentral describes it as "bacterial SSU rRNA". It matches the Rfam family "Bacterial small subunit ribosomal RNA", at positions 255 to 562 of the family's 1533-position model. The record is from RNAcentral. Lineage: Bacteria; Bacillati; Bacillota; Bacilli; Lactobacillales; Lactobacillaceae.
GGGUAAAGGCCUACCAAGGCAAUGAUGCGUAGCCGAGUUGAGAGACUGAUCGGCCACAUUGGGACUGAGACACGGCCCAAACUCCUACGGGAGGCAGCAGUAGGGAAUCUUCCACAAUGGACGCAAGUCUGAUGGAGCAACGCCGCGUGAGUGAAGAAGGUUUUCGGAUCGUAAAGCUCUGUUGUUGGUGAAGAAGGAUAGAGGCAGUAACUGGUCUUUAUUUGACGGUAAUCAACCAGAAAGUCACGGCUAACUACGUGCCAGCAGCCGCGGUAAUACGUAGGUGGCAAGCGUUGUCCGGAUUUAUUGGGCGUA